UACAACCUGAAACCUGAGCUCAUCCCU
Molecule: non-coding RNA, 27 nt
Filed under: Rattus norvegicus (Norway rat)
Lineage: Eukaryota; Metazoa; Chordata; Mammalia; Rodentia; Muridae
Source: RNAcentral